GCAGAGCAAUGGAAGUACGCACGCAUGAAGACACGGUGGAUUCUGGAUUGGACUUGAUCUUUUGUGAUGCUGAGCUGAACUGCCUUGACUCCCCUCCCUUAUUAACUUCUUGAAGAAAAGAGAUGAGGUCAUUGGAAAGGACCUCCUUGGACACUUCCAACUAUUGCAAAGCUGUCUUGUACAGUCCCUAAGGGGCAAACCUGUUCUAAAACCAGUUCAAGUGUUUGUUCUGCACUGGAAGGCUCUUCCAGAUCUUCACCCACUGUCAUGGACAGAAACCAGCUUCUAAUUCCCAGGUGACUGCAGAAAGGUUUGUGUCAGCACGAUGGAGAGAAGCAGCCUGGAGGGCAAGAACAAGAAGCUGGAGGCUCCAGCAAGUGCACAGGAGCUUGUGUGUUUAGCCCUACCACCAAACAUCCAACCACAGCUGGGUUAAUAUUUCUGUGCCUAAUGUGCUAUGCCAUGUGGACUUGAAAACACAUUUGGAGCCUGCUGCAGGAUCCUUACAGGUAAUCUUUAUUGAGGCAUCUGGACUUACUGGAACAUUGAAAGGUAAAUUGGGCAUGGAUAGUCAGAAGGGCACUCAAAGAUCUUGAUGCUUUUGUAGCUGCCAUCAUCAUUAGAAACAACACUAAAGCAUAAGGAGGAAAAUGCACUAAAGAAAGAACACAACCAUAAAACUGAAUUUAAAUAGUAUGACCUAAAUUUUCCAUGACUGGUUUCCUUAGUAUCUCUUUAAUUGCUUUUAUGCCCUGCUGAAUAAGUGGACCAGAGAGUCCUGUUUAUUUUUAUGUGAUAGCUCUUUCUUAGACCUGGAUUUCUGGGCACGAACCGCAGUGGCAUAGCUACUGCCACCACUGAUGUUAUAAUAAACGAACAAGCUUUGUGAGCUUAGAUGUUUACAGAACACUGUCUGUCACAUCUCCAGUUCACAGCACACUAAGCGUGCAGCAAUUGUGAAGGCUUCUCAUACCAUAGAGCAUUUAUUAAACACUGCUUGAACAUUAAAGGCAGGGAGAUGAUACCACUGAUGAAUUUAGGCUUUGUUUUGCUCACUGAAUUCUGGUGGUAAGAUUAUUUACUUUUUUGUGCUAUUCAAAAGCAGUGGGGAGGUAAUUAUUUUUCUGUGGACUUCUCCAGUGAUGUUGAGCAGUGCUGUACGAUUAUAUGGGUCGUGCUUUGUUAAUUAUGACCACUUAGAAAAAAUCACAUUGCAUUGUUUCUGGGCUGAGUGGGUGAGUGCAUGAGCGUUUCCAGAACAAAUACCCAGCUGCAUAACUCUAAGGGCACGUCCACAUCACACAAUAGAGUGUGGGGCAGCAAGUCCUCAGUUAAUGCCGACCAAACCAGCUCCAAAACUGGAAGCAGCAGGCCUGUGCUAGCAUAGUGCUACAUUUUUGCAGUUAAGCAGGGAUUAUUAGCGAGAAUGCAGCUUUGUGGGAACAGAGCUAUGCAGCUUUCAGAGCUGGGUCUGGUAUGGCUGCGGAGGCAAUUCCUGUGCUAUCUGGAUGUACCGGUGUGGCCAGUGGGAGCUCACAACCUUCUGUACCGUGCUAGAAGGUACUGGUGCAUCUAUAAAUAAUCUCUUUGGUUGUUGCUGUAGUAUCAUAUUUGUUUUAUGAGUCUGGUAGCCCACGGGUGGAUCAGGACUCCCACGUGCAUCGUAGCAGUCUGAUGCUGCACAGCAAUGCAAUUGAUAUCAUGAAGACAUCAAUCCUAGUUGCUAGGAGCUCUUGUGCCAGGAUAAAUCUCACCAGGCUAUUCCUGGAAAGUGAAUGCAAAAUAUGCAUGAGGAGUUUAAAGCAAAUCAAAAGGCCACUAAACACGCAGAGCUUUUGUUUACACAACUCUCGAAGCUUUUUCUGUGUGACUUAAUGUAGACACCACAGCUACCUCUGCAAAGCCGAGCUUGGAAAAGAUGACUGUCCUACUUUGUCUGCCUACGUGAAACUACUUUCCUGGCCUCAGAAAUCAGUUUUGCUAUGGGUGAUUUUUAGGCUGGGUUGAAUCCUCAGCCAAUAAAAACUGUCAGCUGGAUUUCUUUUGAUCCGCAAGACUCUCAUGAUGUUACGGCAAUUUACACCACUUGAAAAUGUGGCUUAGGCACACGUUAAUAAAAAUCCCAGCUGCUUGAUGUGGAGCCUGCACAGAGCAUUUGCAACCGGAAACCCUGUGUCAAAGCAGUUAUGUUCCAGACCCGUCCCUUGGAGAACAUUCACAAGGUGAAGAGGAGGCAGGCUGCCAAGCCUGACCUUCUUUCAGUUCAGCUCCCUUGGAGACAUCAAUCUGGGUUUCUGCUUCUGGGAUUCACUUUCCUUACAAACAGUUGUUCAUUCCUAGGUUUACCCAGAAGCUACAGAGCUCUUAUUUGUGAUCAGAGCUUUUGUUUGUGAUUAGCAAGCAAAGUUUAAUCCCCACUUCCUGCUCUAGUAAUAACAAACCAUCCGCUCUUCUCCACAGCAGCAAUG
This is a long non-coding RNA of Columba livia (rock pigeon), 2468 nucleotides long. RefSeq lists it as uncharacterized. The record is from RefSeq and is a predicted model, not a curated record. Lineage: Eukaryota; Metazoa; Chordata; Aves; Columbiformes; Columbidae. The transcript is spliced from 5 exons.